Molecule: long non-coding RNA, 3490 nt
Organism: Toxotes jaculatrix (banded archerfish)
Lineage: Eukaryota; Metazoa; Chordata; Actinopteri; Toxotidae
Exons: 2
Source: RefSeq, a predicted model, not a curated record
ACCAGCAAUUAAUCUUAAUUAAUUAAUUGGACGUGUACCAAUAGGCCACAGUCUCCAUUUUUCCAAGAAUUAAUUCCAAAUUACACAGCCCUUUCUGGGACCCUUCCUCCAAAUUUACAGCGACAUAUCAGUUCCUUCCUAAGUAAUUAUAGGAAACUAUGGGACCCGUAAAAUAAAAUGUCACAAGACCUUCCUGUUCACCCUGCUCUGUGUGUGAGAGCGCUGCUCAGCAUCUUCUGCGUAGCUUUGCCUGCCUGGCACUCCCUGAUAACUUUUGUGUUCGUGUUGAGGAUGGCAACAACAUGAAGGAUGUAAAUCUUGUUCUUUGGGGUUCUUUCUCUUGUUUAUGAAAAGCGCCCUGAGAUAACUUCUGUUAUGAUUUGGCGCAGUCGCUAGAUGAGAAAGAGGUCUUUCUCCUGGCUAGAAGUCCAGCGUCCUAAACGUGCCACAUUUCUGAGAUGAUGCAAGAGUGUGUGUGGCUGCCCGUGGUCUGCAUUGCAGCUCCUGCUUCUACAGUCAGCGUCUGUCUCUCUCUCUUUCUCUCUCGCUCUCUCUCUUCUAAAUGCGCUGAUGGUAUAACAAACUGUGUACUGAGUCUGCGUAUUUAUUUUUCCUUUGUAAAGAUGAUUGUAAAGAAGAACGUUCUCAGCAUCGGUGCUGAAGCGGAUACUGUCCCAGUCACCACACCAAUGUGAAGGGUGAUUCCUUAUGAGUGCAUUAGGACUAUGGUUAUUUUACUAGUCUGUGUAGGCUACACAUUGACACAAGGUGACACAUAGAGACAGAAGUACACGAUUCCAGCUUCCCUCCUGACAGUUUUUUUAAAAUUGUAGAAAAGUGUAGAAAUGUACAACUGUCAGCUAUUAAAUUGCUUAUCAUGCAUAUUUUACUGCAGUUUACUCACUCAGCGACUUACUGUUAGUAUUAAAUUACCAUUUCUCUGGUUAAAAAAAAAAAAAAAAAAAGAAAAGGACUAGAGUGAAGAUACUGUAUUACCCUUAUGGGUUUCCCCAGGGUGCUUCACAGUUCCAUCCUGAUGUUGCUGACCGCUCUCUGAAGGCCUCCUGUCCCUUUAAAUCUUUUAUAAGCAUUACACAACAGGUCCAGUGACACACAAGCAACAAACAGCCCGAAAAAGAAAAUUGACGAGGUUGGGUUGAGCCAGCCAGGCGAAGGAACCAGACACCUACGGAUAGACAGGACCUCUGAUCAGCUGUCACUGUGGCUACCAUACAAACACACACACACAUACAUUGCCCUAUGCAUCUGCGCAACACUCCUUGGGAUUUUGUUAUUCCUCUCUUUGUGAAAAUCAAAGUAAAUCACAUCUGAUGUUUUAAUCAGUUAAAGACAGUAGUGUUUGCAGGAGUUGUCAUUGUGAUCAUGAAGAAAUUAAGGCAGACUGUGUGUAGGCGUGUGUGUUCUGGAGGGACAGGGGUGUUUGAAGCAAGACAAUGAAUUGUUGUGGUCCUUUCACCUACAUGCAAAUACUAAAAACAGCCAGAGGAGGAAAAAAAAGGUUAUUCAAAACGAUUGGGUAGUUGUGUACUUUGUUGAAGCACUUGGCAACAAAUCAGUGAACUGGCCACUACCUGUCCUUGCCCCACCCUGUCAGUGUAUUGUUGCUGUGUGUCUGCGUCAUGGCUCUCAUUGCCAGCGACUGACUGCCACUUCCUUGCUUUUCUCUUGUAGUGGCUGGAGUGCAACGCACCAUCAUUCUCACAGUUCUAUCAAGCAACAGAGAGGAGAGGACUCAUCGAGAUCUGUCUGUACAUAGCUGCAGAUUCAAGGGUGUUUUACAUCACAAGAAGUCUUUUGUCAGACGUGCUCCCCUUGGAAGCUGGUUUCAGAUGGUGGCUUAGAGUAUUGUCACCUAUCUAGCACCAUUUGAAAUCAGUGUUCUUGGGGUGGGAAGUGUGUUUCAAUAACCAGCAACAGGCAGCCAUGGAGAAUCACCAGGGGUGUCCAGUGAUAGAAGUAAAAGAAAGAGACUUCACCUGGCAAGUAUCAUUUCCUCAAACACCUUUCAGUGGGCAACUAACCACCGAUCUACAGUGAUGUUUUGACAGCUCAAAUUCCUUGUCCUCUCUCCAAGGUUGACCGAUUUCUUUUGGUGUUCAGAGUCUGCUUUUGUUUCUAGCACCAUUUGAAAUCGGUUACAGUGAAGGACAGAUCUCAUCUUACUUUGAGAAGGAUUUUGCAACUAAUCUGUGCUCAUUAUUUUACUGACUGCAUUGACUGUAGUUACAUUUUGUCACAUUAACGUUUUAAGUGGAGAAAAAAAAACAAACUCUCAGUGGAUAAUAAGGCAUUUGGGAAUUUAGUUCUUCAAUAAUCCAGAAUCUCUCAUUGAUAUCUUGACUGUUUUUUUCAGGGGUGGAAGGAGUAUUCAAAUCCUCUACUUCAAUAAAAGUACAUUUGCAUCUCAUGUGUAGUGAUGCUAGUAUUAGGGAUGUACCGAUCCACAUUUUUUCACUUCCUAUCCGAUCCCAAUACCUGAAUUUGGGUAUCUACUGAUACCGAUACUAUUUCGAUACCAGAGCUCUGUUUGCUUUAAUAUUAUUAUUAUCAUGAUUGUUGAUUUUAUAUGAUGCUGUAAUAAAUCUUCUGUACAGGCAAGUGUGAUAUGUAUGAAUGUAUGCAUAUAUGUCCCAAAAGGCAACUUGAGGUAAGUAUAAGGUUAGAAAAACAGGAAAUCCUGUUAACAGUCAAUAUUUCUUAAAUUCAAGAGAUCCCCGUAAAGGGUAACCUUCUUUUAGACUACCCCUCUCCAAAUAAAAUAGAAAUAAAAAGGGCUACUUGAUCUGAUCAGCACAAAUUAAGUAUACUGACUCUUGUAGCAGCAUCAAAUCGCAAAUAUCCCGAAGGGUGGAAGCUCACUCACGGUUCAUUUUCUUCCUGCUGUACCUAGAAGGGACAGAAGUCUGUGAGUAAUAUAUUGUUGGUGUGUGAAUUACCUGUAUGACUUACCUGUUGUGGUGCCCCGCUUUGGUUUAUCAUUUGUGUGUAAAAGUUAAUAGCUCGACCGAUCCGAUGCUAAUGCGCUACCCCGUCAACGGGAUUCUCCAUAUUAUGUUAGCAUCGAGUUAAUCACUACUUAUUACCACUUGUAGGUCGCGACGGAGCUGCCGCCCCUCGGUACAAUGGCUUUGCAAACAUUGCACGUUGCAAACAUUGCACAUUGCUGUCUUGCUCAAGGAUCAGGAUCAAGGAUCAAGGAUCAAGGAACUUUAUUGUCAUACCAGGACAUUUGCAUGUUAUGGUACGAAAUUGGUACUCAGGUCCCAGUUUUAAGCCAUAAACAUUAGAGAAAUAUAAAUAUAGACAUUAGAGAAAUAUAAACAGAGAAUAUAAACAUUGUGAAAUUUAACAACUAGCAAUUAAAUAAGAUAAAAAAUAGAUAAGGUAAGGAGGCCGAAGUUAGCAUGUGCAAAAAAAAAAAAAAAAAAUACUCGUGCAAGUAGGGAGUAGUGCAAGGGUCCGUGUGUUA